This 252-nucleotide ribosomal RNA is filed under the name uncultured bacterium. Its description in RNAcentral is "partial 16S ribosomal RNA". It matches the Rfam family "Bacterial small subunit ribosomal RNA", at positions 336 to 605 of the family's 1533-position model. The record is from RNAcentral.
UUCCUACGGGGCGCAGCAGUGGGGGAUAUUGCACAAUGGGGGAAACCCUGAUGCAGCGACGCCGCGUGAGUGAAGAAGUAUUUCGGUAUGUAAAGCUCUAUCAGCAGGGAAGAAAAUGACAGUACCUGACCAAGAAGCCCCGGCUAACUACGUGCCAGCAGCCGCGGUAAUACGUAGGUGGCAAGCGUUGUUCGGAAUAACUGGGCGUAAAGGAUGCGUAGGCGGUUAAACAAGUUGUAUGUUAAAUAUAUA